Molecule: long non-coding RNA, 2145 nt
Organism: Lycium ferocissimum
Lineage: Eukaryota; Viridiplantae; Streptophyta; Magnoliopsida; Solanales; Solanaceae
Exons: 2
Source: RefSeq, a predicted model, not a curated record
UUCGAUUCUACUUAUCUAGUAUUAAUUUGGUUUGAUUUUGUGAGAUUGUUUUUAGCUUUACUUUGGCUCUGGUGUAGUCUAUUUAUAGUAUUUUAGCAUUCUUUAGAUGGCUAAGCUUAAUUGGAGUCGUUCAUGUAUGACCCUCGACUGUUAGUUACUUAUGAAAAGAUUAUUAUGUUGCCCUCUUUUUAAAUUUUUAGAAUAGGCUUAAAGUGGUAGUGAUGGAUUAAAUUAGUUUGUAAAAGAUAUUAUCUGCCCUAUUUUUUGUCACUUGUUUAUGAAGCUAGAAAAUAUGCCAAGUGUUUUAGCUUAGUUCAUUAUUUGGGGAAAAGGGUCAUUCUAUGCCCUGUUGAGUUUCUGUUUGUUUUUUUUUUUUUUAAAAAAAAACUUUAUCAUCUCAAAGCUGCAAAAUUGUAUUUGUCAUAAAAAGGGUUCUGUUCUUGUUAUGUGGGAUUAGAUAGGAGUUGGUUUGUUUAAUGUUUAGUGUAAGAACUGAUUUAGGAAAUAAAGUCGCAGCUUUGCUGCCUAAAUAUCCUUAAUGACAGAUUUUUGUUUCAACUUAAUUAAGUGCUUGUUAAAAGAAUAGAAAGUUCAGAGAAUCAUGUGUGGUCAAUGCUUUGGAGGUGAUAAAUGAUUUGAAUAGACUCUUCCAAGCCGCUGAUUUCUAAAAACUGAGCUCUUUUUCUUACUUGAACCUGCUGUAUGCUUUGUUGUCUUCCCCAGAAAGAUCUGUUGAAGUUUUAGUACUUUUUUCUUAUUAUUUGAAAUAGGGAGGAAUCUGUUUUGAUCAAUUACUCUUGGUUUAGGGUGUUGUUUGGAUCUUUAGCUUGUUUCAAUUUAGCUAACUUGUGAAAAGAAUGUCAUUUUUGCAAAGAAGCUCAGGUUUCUGUUGGUAGAUAGCUUAAAAGUAAAACUUGUUUGAAUAUAGAUGAGGAGAUUAUGUCCUGCUCUUGUUUUGAAUUAGUUUGAAGAGAUUAAGUGAUUAUAGUUUAAAUGUCCUAAAAUAGGAAUGACAAUAUUGUGUAGAAUACUUAUGGGAAAAGAUUUGGUAUUAUAGGCCUUUACUUGUAUUCUGGCCACAUCUUAGUUUAUAAUGACCAAAGCAUGCCUCCAAACUUUGAGCUUGUGAUGAGUUCAACUGGACAUAUCCUUUUUUUUUUUAACAACUAAGAUGUUGUCACCUUCAAAACCUUGGGACCUGUCUUUUUACCAUAGCUUGAAGCAUGCAUAGUUGUUUAAUGAUUUGUGUCUAGUUUCCUGUUGCUAUUAUUUGUUGGCCAUAAAUCUCAUCUGAAACUUUUUUUGGCCUUAAUAUGAACUGUGAUGAUAGAAUUUGAUUUUUGAACUUGACUUUUUGUUAGUUUAACCAUUUUCAAGAUUUAACUAAAUAUGAUAAUAAAUGGAGGAGGUACCUCAUUUGUUCUUAUCUUGUUAAAACCUUCUUUGUUUAAGACACUCAUUCUUUACCCUCUCUUCUUUGCAUGACUUGGGGAUUUUCAAAUCCCAAAAUGCUCCGGAGUUGCUGCCUAACUUGAGAUGAGGCUGCUACUUUGUGCUGAAAAGGAGAGCAGUGCCUACUAAGCUUGUUGUUCGAAUCACUGCUAUGUUCAAGAGGCUCUCCUAUGCUGCUGUUUUAUUUCACUGUUUCUGUCCUUUGUUCAGAUUUUGCUGCACUUUGAGGCUGUACUUGCUGCUGCAAUUUUGGCUAUUUACACCGCAUUUUGGGCUGAAAUAUGCUGUCUCUUGAGUCAAUGGGUUGCUGCGUCUUUUGCGGCUGAAAAUGCCAAACUUCUGAGUAAAUUUGCCACUGCUUUCAUGGCCGAAAGCUGCUGCAUUUUUUAGCUGAAACGCUGCUGUGUUCUUGGCUGUUUACUGCUGUAUUUUGAGACUUGUUGAGUUGCUGCAUUGUUGAGCUUAUCGUUGUUGGAAUCUUGGACCAGCCUGUGGCUUCAUGUUGGCAAAAAAUAGCUGCUGCUAUACUAAAGGACACAACUGCUAUAUCUUUGAAAUGUUAUUUUGAGGGGUUGGCAUCUACCUCUACCUCAGUGCCCAUUAUGAAUUAAUGUCUUGUUUGCUACAUGCUUGCUGUGGCAUAUUGGGGAAUUGCUGCUGUUAAGUUUGAGGUCAAAAAUUGUUGCCCUACGA